AAUCCAUGCAUCGGACACUUCCAAAUUAAGUCUUUGAAUCACUCCCAAGCUUCAUAUAUCGUUUCAUCCUCCAAUUGCCGAAAAGAUGUGAUGUCAUUUCUAAACUU
This 107-nucleotide small nucleolar RNA is filed under the name Gossypium hirsutum (cotton). RNAcentral's name for it is "Plant small nucleolar RNA R71". It matches the Rfam family "Plant small nucleolar RNA R71". From Rfam's summary of the family: R71 is a member of the C/D box family of snoRNAs containing the C (UGAUGA) and D (CUGA) box motifs. Lineage: Eukaryota; Viridiplantae; Streptophyta; Magnoliopsida; Malvales; Malvaceae. The record is from Rfam by way of RNAcentral.